Molecule: ribosomal RNA, 138 nt
Filed under: uncultured eukaryote
Lineage: Eukaryota
Description: partial 18S ribosomal RNA
Rfam family: Eukaryotic small subunit ribosomal RNA
Source: RNAcentral
UGGUGAAGCGAUUUGUCUGGUUAAUUCCGAUAACGAACGAGACUCUGGCCUAUUAAAUAGUUCGCCGAUUCCGAUCUGUCGGCGUUAACCUCUUAGAGGGACAAGUGGCUUUUAGCCACGCGAGAUUGAGCAAUAACA